RNAcentral lists this ribosomal RNA (282 nucleotides) under Chlamydia avium. RNAcentral's name for it is "partial 16S ribosomal RNA". It matches the Rfam family "Bacterial small subunit ribosomal RNA", at positions 49 to 318 of the family's 1533-position model. Lineage: Bacteria; Pseudomonadati; Chlamydiota; Chlamydiia; Chlamydiales; Chlamydiaceae. The record is from RNAcentral.
UGAUGAGGCAUGCAAGUCGAACGGAAUAAUACUUCGGUAUUAUUUAGUGGCGGAAGGGUUAGUAAUACAUAGAUAAUUUGUCCUUAACUUGGGAAUAACGGCUGGAAACGGCCGCUAAUACCGAAUGUGGUAUGUUUAGGCAUCUAAAGCAUAUUAAAGAAGGGGAUCUUCGGACCUUUCGGUUAAGGGAGAGUUUAUGGGAUAUCAGCUUGUUGGUGGGGUAAUGGCCUACCAAGGCUUUGACGUCUAGGCGGAUUGAGAGAUUGACCGCCAACACUGGAA